AUACGUAGGGAGCGAGCGUUGUCCGGAAUGAUUGGGCGUAAAGGGCGCGUAGGUGGUUUGUCGCGUCGUCUGUGAAAUUCCGGGGCUUAACUCCGGGCGUGCAGGCGAUACGGGCAUAACUUGAGUACUGUAGGGGAGACUGGAAUUCCUGGUGUAGCGGUGAAAUGCGCAGAUAUCAGGAGGAACACCGGUGGCGAAGGGGGGUCGCUGGGCAGUAACUGACGCUGAGGAGCGAAAGCAUGGGUAGCGAACAGGAUUAGAUACCCUGGUAGUCCAUGCCGUAAACGGUGGGCGCUAGGUGUAGGGGUCUUCCACGACUUCUGUGCCGUAGCUAACGCAUUAAGCGCCCCGCCUGGGGAGUACGGCCGCAAGGCUAAAACUCAAAUGAAUUGACGGGG
RNAcentral lists this ribosomal RNA (398 nucleotides) under uncultured bacterium. RNAcentral describes it as "partial 16S ribosomal RNA". It matches the Rfam family "Bacterial small subunit ribosomal RNA", at positions 523 to 918 of the family's 1533-position model. The record is from RNAcentral.